GCUAUAAUGCAACCUUUGAGAGUUCCAAGUCUCUAUGAAAAAUGCAGAGGAUAGC
This 55-nucleotide non-coding RNA is filed under the name unclassified sequences. The record is from RNAcentral.